UUCCCACUCGCCCAAUAAUUGGUCAAAUAUCUUGAUCGGCAAGAAACAUUUUCCAUCUUGGCCGCACGUACAGAACAGGUAUCGUGAAAAUUCAACACGGUCGCCAAAAAAGUCAAUUCUUUUAUUCAUAAUCUGCACAAGACAUCAGCGUCGCCGAUCACUGGCUGGAUUAUUCUCGCCAAGAGUAACCUGUGAGGGUCGAGAGGUGGCGGCUUUCUUUGUCUCGUUUGGGAGAUGUUUCCUUGAAGUUUCUGUGCAACUUGGGGCGGGUCUCUGUUGUUAUCGUCUUUCCCGUUCCGCUGCCAUGUGAGAGAGAGGAUAUAACUCAAGAAUCAAACUUUCACAUUAGUCAAUAGAUUACAGUUUGUCCUUUCAGCACCGUAUAUUCUCUUGCUUUCUCGAGGGCAAGAUUUUGCAAAGCUGACACCCGAAAAUUUGGACUGUUGAUUGCAAGGAGAGAGAGA
Long non-coding RNA from Rhodamnia argentea, 464 nucleotides. RefSeq lists it as uncharacterized. The record is from RefSeq and is a predicted model, not a curated record. Lineage: Eukaryota; Viridiplantae; Streptophyta; Magnoliopsida; Myrtales; Myrtaceae. The transcript has 2 exons.